GUUUAGGGAGGAUUUGCCCCGCUUGCCUUACCCCAACUUUUACUACGCGCUAGAAGAUCUUUUGGAGUCAUACGCGCCAUCAUUGACCUACUCUGUGCACCGCUCGUCGAUCAUAAUAGGCGCGUCGUCGAGAAGCGUGUACAACGCGCUACUUACAUUAGCAGUGUACGCAUUGAUAUGUCGAUACGAGGGUUUACCGUUUCGAUAUCCAGGUAGCCGGUACACAUGGGAACAACAUAAUAGUGAAAUAGUAACAAAAGUAGUGAGAAAACAACAAAAAAACAGCAAAACAACAAAAAGGACAAUUUUUUUUAGCAAAUUUGGGUCAGGCUGAACUCGGGUCCAAAAAAAUAUUACUUGAAGCCUGGCCCGUUUUCUAAACAUGCCUCUCUCUUUUUUUUGUCUAAGUUUAUUUUUUAGGUCUAUAUUUUUACCCAAAUCCUCUCACAUUUCGUGUGGGCCUUCGGGCCGAGCCGGGUGACCCGACCCAUAGAUAAGUUUAGUUGAAAUGGGUAAAACCAAAAUUUUGAGAUAUCCAAAUCACUUAGGUUCAAAUCCUACUAUGUGAUUAACUUCUAAAUUUAUUUUGGGAAAAAAACAAAAACCUCAUAGAUAUAUUUAUUACUUUAUAAAAAAUAAAUAUUUUAAUAUUUUUUAAUUAAACUAGUGUCCAAUUAACUCAUGACACAAACUCAAUAAAAAUUUCCCGCUUAUAUUUUUGAUCAUUGCAUUGCAUGAGGAAGAUGAUAUAUCAUUUAAAUAUUAAACGAUAAUUAUUGUAAAUAAAUUGGAGAAGAUAUAAAUCUGAAAUGUGACAAAUACCUUACACAGAGCCCAGUCUGCGGAAUCAAAGAAAGCACGUUCAUGGCCCUACAUAUAUUUAUUUUAAUUUAAACCUUCAAAAACAAAUAUUAUUUAUUUAUUUAAAGGCGGCUUCUUUGGCACCAGGCCUCCAUAUUUCUUGGCCGUUGCUUUUCCCUGUAAUAUAAAUCAGCAUUCAACUAUUUUUUUGAAUUCUAAAAAACAAAUGUCACGAUCAACUUUCAAACUGUAGCUUCUUUAUUUUGGCCAAACUUGACUGUGGGGUUUCAACUUUUUAUUUAUUUUCUAUAUUAUUCAAAAUUAAAAUUACAUAUUAACACUUAUUUAUUUGUAUGAUUAAAUAAUAAUGUGUGACAAAAUGGACCGACCUUAAUUGAGACAUACGGAUGAAGAAUUAGACCAAAGCUGGAUUAAUCCACAAGAUGAGAGAGAUACAAAUGACGGCCAUUAAACUCAAAAUUUUAAAAUCUAAAACCUCAGUCUUUGUCGACUAUAUCAAGUUGUUAGUAACAAAAGAAAUAAAGUAUUUGGAUAUAUAUAUAUAUAUAUCAAAAAGAUAUUAUUUUUAUUAAUAUGAUAAAACUCAAAAUUUUACUUUUUAUUAGAUAUUUAAAUAGCUAUGAAUAUAUUUAGCUUUUAAGGUUUAUAUUAAUUUGGUUCUUAUUUUUUUAGUUAAAUUUGACCACUAACUUUUCAAAAAGAAUCACACAACACUUUCAAUGAAAAUGUUGACUAAAGCAUUAAUUUUUUAAUGAUAUUGGCGUGGCAACCUACAUGACAAUUCAUGUGUACUAUAUACUAAUAUGAUAUUAUUUGUCUUAUAUGUCAUGCCAACAAAUAAUUUAAAAAUAAAACAAUUAAAAAGUUCAUAAAAAGCAUCAAGUAUAAGUAGAUUCUUAUGUUUAAGAAUUUAAUAUUUUAAUCAAUAUUUUCGUUAAAAAAAUAAAUUAACUCUUUUUAAAAGGUUUAUGGUCAAAUUAAACUUCUUUUAUAAGGUUGAGGAUUAACUAAGUUCAACAAAAGAAUAAGAGUAAAAUUGACCAAAAAAAUUAAACAGAUUAAAUUUAUGAUUAUAGCUAUUUAAAACACUAUUUAUCAAUUAUAAUUAAAAAAAAAGGGUAAAAAAUAGGAAAGGAUGGCGUGAGAUUGGGUGACAGGUUAACUAGCACCAUAUAAACGUGCGGUUGUUGUAGUACGUAUAAUCACUGCCACCAUUUCCAGAAAAUAAUGUCUCAUAAUACACGUCAUCCCUUCGAACUGUCGUGUCAUGAUUAUAGCCGUUGAUUUGGCUGGCCCUAAAUGUAGUAGAUAUGAUUGCAAAUUGAAUUGCUUUGCGACCAUAAAUCAUACCAAACAAAAUCACAAAUAGCCGUUUUCAGAGUUUUCCCAAUUUCGGAUUUUAUUUUAAUUUAAAUAAAUUUAAAGGUUUUUUUUUUUUGUUGAAGUGGUUUCUUUAGAAGGGAAAUUUUAAGGUAGCUGUUACAGUUUUCUUUCAUAAUAAUAGGUGGCUAUAGUUAUAAUUUUGUUUGAAAAUAUUUUAUAAAAAAAAUUGCAAUAUAAUUUAUUAAUUGAUAAAUAUGAAUUCUAAUUAAAGUGAAUCGAUUUAGCGAUAGUAAAAAUAUUAAUUAAGGGUUUUUAUAUAAUUAAAUAAUUUAUUACCUAAUAAAAGAGAGUUUAUCUUAGGAUACACUCACACGUGGAACAUCAGAACCGUUGAUCCAUUCAUCAAUCUUAUUAAAAAAAAACAGUAUGGGACUCAGCUCUGUUCGUGAAAACAUGGAAUUUAAAUAUUUCUUAUUUGAAAACGUAGUAAUAAAAAUAAUACUUAGUCCCUGCCCGCCUUCACUGCAAGCGGCGUUCCGGCAGGGGGGGUCUUUGGAAGAAGAAAACAGUGUGUGGUAGUGAAUCGUACCUCGUGGUCGUCUUCAGCAUGUUUGAAGUCCGCCAUUUUAAAACCUGUUAAAACAAGAGAAACGCCAUUGAUUCUUAACUUAUUAAUAACGAUGAAGAAUAUUAUAUUCAUAUCAUGAGGAUGGAUUUAUGGCAUUACCUUACACAAGGGAAGGGAAAGAAGAAGAGCUAGAAAGGGAUGUGAGACAGGAACAAUAAUGAUAGGUCGUAAGAAGCAGGCAACUAUAUAUAAUGCAUUAUUGGUGGUGUUGCUUGUUGAAUUAAUGGUUUUUAGAAAACGAGUUAGAUUUUUUUUAAAGUGGUAUUCUUUUUUGGUGAAAUCAACGAUUUUACGUAAAAUAUUUUUUAUUAUUUGACAAACUUUCC
Molecule: long non-coding RNA, 3099 nt
Filed under: Gossypium raimondii (Peruvian cotton)
Lineage: Eukaryota; Viridiplantae; Streptophyta; Magnoliopsida; Malvales; Malvaceae
Description: long non-coding RNA (GRAI_LNC004714)
Source: RNAcentral